ACGGGGGUGGCAAGCGUUGUCCGGAAUUACUAGGCGUAAAGGGCAGGUAGGCGGAUCAGUAAGUCGGACGUUUAAUCCUCGGUCUUAAGCUGAGACAUGCGUUUGAUACUGUUGAUCUAGAAUGCGGCGGGGGCAGACGGAAUUCCGGGUGUAGCGGUGCAAUGCGCAGAUAUCCGGAGGAACACCGAAGGCGAAGGCGGCGGUCCGUUCCGCAAUUGACACUGAAAUUCGAAGGUGUGGGGAUCAAAAAG
RNAcentral lists this ribosomal RNA (251 nucleotides) under uncultured prokaryote. Its description in RNAcentral is "partial 16S rRNA". It matches the Rfam family "Bacterial small subunit ribosomal RNA", at positions 525 to 775 of the family's 1533-position model. The record is from RNAcentral.